Molecule: ribosomal RNA, 498 nt
Filed under: uncultured Glomeromycotina
Lineage: Eukaryota; Fungi; Glomeromycota
Description: partial small subunit ribosomal RNA
Rfam family: Eukaryotic small subunit ribosomal RNA
Source: RNAcentral
CCAAUAGCGUAUAUUAAAGUUGUUGCAGUUAAAAAGCUCGUAGUUGAAUUUUAGGCCUGGCCGGACGGUCCGUCUUUGGCGAGUACUGUUCUGUUGUCGGGUCUUCCUUCUGGUGAACCAAUAUGUCCUUAAUUGGGUGUGUUGGGGAGCCAGGACCAUUACCUUGAAAAAAUUAGAGUGUUUAAGGCGGGCUAUUGCUUGAAUAGAUUAGCAUGGAAUAAUGGAAUAGGACGUUGUGGUUCUAUUUUGUUGGUUUCUAGGACCACCGUAAUGAUUAAUAGGGAUAGUUGGGGGCAUUAGUAUUCAAUUGUCAGAGGUGAAAUUCUUGGAUUUAUUGAAGACUAACUAUUGCGAAAGCAUUUGCCAAGGAUGUUUUCAUUAAUCAAGAACGAAAGUUAGGGGAUCGAAGACGAUCAGAUACCGUCGUAGUCUUAACCAUAAACUAUGCCGACUAGGAAUCGGGCGACGUUAUUUUCACGACUCGCUCGGCGCCUUAUG